This is a long non-coding RNA of Anas platyrhynchos (mallard), 1002 nucleotides long. RefSeq lists it as uncharacterized. The record is from RefSeq and is a predicted model, not a curated record. Lineage: Eukaryota; Metazoa; Chordata; Aves; Anseriformes; Anatidae.
AUUUUUUAUUUUUAUUUUUUUACUGUGUCUUCAAUCUGAGCUGACUAAGCCCAAGUCAAGUUCAGGCUAUGGGUGGCAUCUGUUUUGGUGGCCUCACACUUUGAUCUGCACAAUAGAGCAGGUAAUAAACUGUUUUAGUACAUCUCUACCCUAUCCAGGAAGCUCAGAGGACAAUGAAGAGUGUCUUGAUCACAGUUCAUCUGAGGUAGAAGAUCACUUAGCUUUUCUUCACAGGACUGCAGCUGAGAUCCACCGCUCCCAGGAGAUGGUCGGUGAUACAAGGUAGAGAUUUCACCCCUGAAUACUGAAGAAAAGGAGAAGAAAGAAAAAGUCUGUUGGAGAAGUACCAAAUUACAUAUCGUUCAGAAGUGAAACAAUCUUUGCUGGUUUUAGAAAGCAGCUCUAUUGCAAAUAUCGUUGUGGUAUACGUUUACCCUCCUAGACUUCUUUUAUACCAUUUCCCUAGAAGGUAGCAAAACACACUGGUGCUUUGGAUAAAUAGAAACCCAGAACAGAUAGAAUAAGUAGCAUGGUCAUGGUUAUACAGAAGAUAUGUGGCUAAGCAGGAGCUUGAAUAAGGAUCUCAGCAUUACAGCUCUGCUAAUCUGAAUACCUCUGCUUUCUGCGACAGCAGACAGACAGGCAUCAAUGAAGUAAACUGGAGAUACAACAUAUUAAACAGAGUCUGCAUGGGCUCAAGCUAGGGAAAUCAAUUGCUUAAACUGUUGAAAGCAGAGAGAUAAUAUAGGCAAAAUCUUCACUUUAAUUAUUAACUGCUUUCAGCUUUUUAUUUUUUUUAUUUUUUUAUCAGAAUGGAGGAAAGGGGAAAAAAAAAAAGAAAAGAAAAAGAUUUAUCAGAACUGAGUGAUCAAAAAGAUUAUUUCUUUUUUUCUUCCUAAGAAAAGCUGCAACAAUUCUUCAUCAAUUAUAAACCAAGAAAGACAGGGGCAAGAAGAACACUUUGCAUGCAGGCCUCCCGCGCUUCCCCCCCUUCCCCCCUUC